Long non-coding RNA from Humulus lupulus (European hop), 699 nucleotides. RefSeq lists it as uncharacterized. The transcript has 4 exons. The record is from RefSeq and is a predicted model, not a curated record. Lineage: Eukaryota; Viridiplantae; Streptophyta; Magnoliopsida; Rosales; Cannabaceae.
UAGGUCUCUCCAUUCUCUCUCCCCAAAACUGAAGCCCUAAUCUCUCUCUACUCUCCAUUUUUGCUAUCUUCUCUCCAAGAGCAAGAGCAUUCUUUCCCCAUUGAAGGAAGGGAGAAGCUCAAGAGCACACUAAGGAAGAGGUUCAAUAGAGGCUUGUACGGGUAGUACCUGAAGGAGAUAGAACUUUGGUUAUCUAGUGGAAGCAAGGUAAGAAAUCUUGGUAGUUUGCAUGUUUUCUUCCUCAUCUAAGUUUUUUACCCUAAUCAUUUUCUUAAAAAAAUUCAUGUGGAACUUGGGGCUCAAUUUUGAGAGGUUAUAUCACUAAGGGAUGGUGUUGAAGAGCUAAGGAACACAUCUCCAAGCUAGGGCUUCGAAAGGUAAGUGCAAAAGCAAAGUGGAACAGUGAGCACCGGAGUCUGCUUGUGGAUAUGUACAUGUGGCCUGACCUUGGGAGGUUUUUGAUGGAUCACCAUUUUGAAAAGAAAAAGCUAAAAGAAAAUAGCUAUGGCAGCGGGAAGAUUCUUGGCAGCUUAGAGAUGUGUAUUGAGGCAGGAUGGAAUCAGUGGAUUGAGUGUUCGAUUCAAGGAUGAAGUCGCUUCCCAUUCUUUUAAAAAUUAUGCUUUAUAUGUAUUUUUCGCAAUUAAUUUUGUAACUCGUUUAUUUAAAGUUAUGUUAUGUUUUUAUUUUAAAAACAAUGGG